AUUCUGUUCAUAUUCUCUCCCCUUUAGAUAUUGUCAUUUGUUUUCUGUUGCCAAGUUUGGUGAAUUCUUUAUAUAUUUUGGUUAUUAGGCUUUUGUCUGAUAUAUGGCAUGUAAAUAUCUUUCCCAUUCUGUAAGUAAUCUAUUUAGAUGGUGGUUUCCCUUGCUGUACAGAAGUUUUCAAUUUGAUAUAGUCCUCUUGGCUUAUUUUUGUUUUUGUCUUCCUUGCAAUUGGACUUAAAGAUGCCUAGAAAACUUAGAUGGAAAAGAGUUCUCUCAAUAUUUUUUUCUUAGUAUUUGAUAGUUUCUGGUCAAUUUCUUGAUCCAUUUGGAAUUUACUUUUGUGUCCGGUGAAAUGUAGUAGUUCUAUUUCAUUUUUCUGCACAUUUCAACUCAAUUUUCCCAACAACAUUUGGUGAAGAGACACAGCUUUCUCCACUUAAUAGUUUGGGCCCCAUUGUCAAAACUUAGAUGUCCAGGAGUGUGGGGCUAGAUCUUUCUUUCUUCCUUUUUUUUUUUUUUUUUUUUUUUGAUUCAUCAUAUCUUUCUCAUUGUAAGUUUACUGAUCUACUGUAUUACAUAUCCAUUUAUAAAGUAUAUUUUGGGGGGCUGGGCAGUAACAUACCCAGUUAAGUGCACAUAGUACUAAGUGCAAGAGUUUGAACCCUGCUCCCCACCUGCAGGGGUGAUGCUUCACAAGCAGCAAAGCAGGUCUGCAGGUGUCAAUCCUUUUCUUUCUGCCCUCCCCUCUCUUUCUCUCUCUUUUAUAUCUCAUUGUUGUCGGAUAGGACAGAGAGAAAUAGAGAGAGGAGGGGAAGACAGAGAGGGAAAGAGAAAGAUAGACACCUGCAGACCUGCUUCACCACUUGUGAAGCAACCCCCUUGCUAGUGUGGAGCGGAGGACUCGAACUGGAAUCCUUCUACUGGUCCUUGCACUUCGCACCAUGUGCACUUACUCAGUGUGUUACCGCCUGACCCUCUCUCUGCUACCCCUCUCAAUUUCCCUCUUUCCUAGUAAAUAAAAUGGGAAAAAAUAAAAGGAAAAAAUGGCCACAAAGAACUUUGGAUUCUCAGUGCAGGCACCGAGCCCCAUCAAUAAUCAUGGAGGCAAUAAUAAUAAUAUAUAUUUUUGUUUAUAUUAUAUUGUUUAUACAGGAAAAUUGUUUUUAUUUUAACUUAAUAAUUAAUAUUAUUACAUCAUUCUCCAUCUUCUAUCUGGGUCAUUAUUGCCCUAUCACCUCACUAUUCAGGUUAUUAUUAAUAAGUUCUUAAAAUGUUUUACCAGAGAAAACAGCCUGGGAGUAUGUAUUGACCUGCCAAUGUCUAUGUCCAAUGGAGAAGCAAUUACAGAAGCCAGACCUUUCACCUUCUGCACCACAUAAUGAUCCUGGGUCUAUAUUCAUACUCACAGAGGGAAAAUGAAUAGGAAAGCUUCCAGUGGAGGAGAUGGGAUAUGCAACUCAGGUGGUAGGAAUUGUGUGAAUUGUAUCCCUCUUAUCUUAUGGGCUUGUUUAUCAUUAUUAAAUCAGUAAAUUAAAAAAAAAAUUUACCAGGGCCACCAAAAUAGCUCAUAUGGACAGUGCACUGCAUUCUAUGCAUGCCAUUCAGGUUUAAGCCCAGCUCCCACUGCACUGAAGGAAUUUUUAGUGUUGUGACAUAUCUAUCUAUCU
Erinaceus europaeus (western European hedgehog) is the source of this 1667-nucleotide long non-coding RNA. RefSeq lists it as uncharacterized. The record is from RefSeq and is a predicted model, not a curated record. The transcript has 2 exons. NCBI's taxonomy places the organism in Eukaryota, Metazoa, Chordata, Mammalia, Eulipotyphla, Erinaceidae.